GAUGAACGCUGGCGGCGUGCCUAACACAUGCAAGUCGAGCGAAGCGGGGACGGGUGAGUAAUACGUAGAUAACUUCCUAUAAGACUGGGUUAACACUGGGAACCCUGAGCAAUACGCGUUACCUACAGAUUGAUCCUCGCUGCAGUAGCUAGUUGGUAAGGUAACGGCUUACCAAGGCUACGAUGCAUAGCCGGCCUGAGAGGGUGAUCGGCCACACUGGAACUGAGACACGGUCCAGACUCCUACGGGAGGCAGCAGUGGGGAAUCUUCCGCAAUGGGCGAAAGCCUGACGGAGCAACGCCGCGUGAGUGAAGAAGGUCUUCGGGUCGUAAAACUCUGUUAUUAGGGAAGCGGUACCUAUUCAAAAAGCCACGGCUAACUACGUGCCAGCAGCCGCGGUAAUAC
This 405-nucleotide ribosomal RNA is filed under the name uncultured bacterium. RNAcentral's name for it is "partial 16S ribosomal RNA". It matches the Rfam family "Bacterial small subunit ribosomal RNA", at positions 28 to 526 of the family's 1533-position model. The record is from RNAcentral.